UCUGCUGUGAGCUCAGUCGGUUAGAGCGUGGGUCUAAUGUAAGCCCAAGGUCGCAGGUUCGACCCCUGCUGGCGGCA
RNAcentral lists this non-coding RNA (77 nucleotides) under Caenorhabditis japonica. RNAcentral's name for it is "tRNA CJA47752". It matches the Rfam family "tRNA". Rfam says of the family: Transfer RNA (tRNA) molecules are approximately 80 nucleotides in length. Their secondary structure includes four short double-helical elements and three loops (D, anti-codon, and T loops). Lineage: Eukaryota; Metazoa; Nematoda; Chromadorea; Rhabditida; Rhabditidae. The record is from RNAcentral.